RNAcentral lists this ribosomal RNA (741 nucleotides) under Rothia mucilaginosa. RNAcentral's name for it is "bacterial SSU rRNA". It matches the Rfam family "Bacterial small subunit ribosomal RNA", at positions 28 to 776 of the family's 1533-position model. Lineage: Bacteria; Bacillati; Actinomycetota; Actinomycetes; Micrococcales; Micrococcaceae. The record is from RNAcentral.
GACGAACGCGGGCGGCGUGCUUAACACAUGCAAGUCGAACGAUGAAGCCUAGCUUGCUAGGUGGAUUAGUGGCGAACGGGUGAGUAAUACGUGAGUAACCUACCUUUAACUCUGGGAUAAGCCUGGGAAACUGGGUCUAAUACCGGAUACGACCAAUCUCCGCAUGGGGUGUUGGUGGAAAGCGUUAUGUAGUGGUUAUAGAUGGGCUCACGGCCUAUCAGCUUGUUGGUGAGGUAACGGCUCACCAAGGCGACGACGGGUAGCCGGCCUGAGAGGGUGACCGGCCACACUGGGACUGAGACACGGCCCAGACUCCUACGGGAGGCAGCAGUGGGGAAUAUUGCACAAUGGGCGCAAGCCUGAUGCAGCGACGCCGCGUGAGGGAUGACGGCCUUCGGGUUGUAAACCUCUGUUAGCAGGGAAGAAGAGAGAUUGACGGUACCUGCAGAGAAAGCGCCGGCUAACUACGUGCCAGCAGCCGCGGUAAUACGUAGGGCGCGAGCGUUGUCCGGAAUUAUUGGGCGUAAAGAGCUUGUAGGCGGUUUGUCGCGUCUGCUGUGAAAGGCCGGAGCUUAACUCCGUGUAUUGCAGUGGGUACGGGCAGACUAGAGUGCAGUAGGGGAGACUGGAAUUCCUGGUGUAGCGGUGGAAUGCGCAGAUAUCAGGAGGAACACCGAUGGCGAAGGCAGGUCUCUGGGCUGUAACUGACGCUGAGAAGCGAAAGCAUGGGGAGCGAACAGG